RNAcentral lists this ribosomal RNA (303 nucleotides) under uncultured Cortinarius. RNAcentral describes it as "eukaryotic LSU rRNA". It matches the Rfam family "Eukaryotic large subunit ribosomal RNA", at positions 1 to 295 of the family's 3401-position model. Lineage: Eukaryota; Fungi; Basidiomycota; Agaricomycetes; Agaricales; Cortinariaceae. The record is from RNAcentral.
GUGACCUCAAAUCAGGUAGGACUACCCGCUGAACUUAAGCAUAUCAAUAAGCGGAGGAAAAGAAACUAACAAGGAUUCCCCUAGUAACUGCGAGUGAAGCGGGAAAAGCUCAAAUUUAAAAUCUGGCGGUCUUUUGGCUGUCCGAGUUGUAAUCUAGAGAAGUGUUAUCCGCGCUGGACCGUGUACAAGUCUCCUGGAAUGGAGCAUCAUAGAGGGUGAGAAUCCCGUCUUUGACAUGGACUGCCAGGGCUUUGUGAUGCGCUCUCAAAGAGUCGAGUUGUUUGGGAAUGCAGCUCAAAAUGG